This 1081-nucleotide ribosomal RNA is filed under the name Bomolochus decapteri. RNAcentral describes it as "bacterial SSU rRNA". It matches the Rfam family "Eukaryotic small subunit ribosomal RNA", at positions 81 to 1153 of the family's 1831-position model. The record is from RNAcentral. Lineage: Eukaryota; Metazoa; Arthropoda; Copepoda; Poecilostomatoida; Bomolochidae.
GUGAAACCCCGAAUGGCCCAUUAAAUCACACCUAAAGGCCUGGAUAGUUUCUUUUUACUGGGAAAACUGCGGUAAUUUUGGAGCUAAUACAUGCGUUAACCGCCCGAACCGAGCGAUCGGUAGGGCUGCUUUUAUUAGUUUCUAAACCAACGCGCCUUCGGGCAACUCCUUUGGUGACUCUGAAUAACUUUUAGUGGAUCGCAUGGCCUUGCGCCGGCGACGUAUCCUUCCAAGGUGUGCCCUAUCCACUUUCGACUGUGGUAUAGACGCCCACAGUGGUUUUGACGGGUAACGGGGAAUUAGGGUUCGAUUCCGGAGAGGGAGCCUGAGAAACGGCUACCACUUCUAAGGAAGGCAGCAGGCACGCAAAUUACCCAAUGGUCGAAGACCGAGGUAGUGACGAAAAAUAACGAUACCGGACUCAUCCGAGGCCCGGUAAUCGGAAUGAGAACACUUUAAAUCCUUUAACGAGGAUCAAUUGGAGGGCAAGUCUGGUGCCAGCAGCCGCGGUAAUUCCAGCUCCAAUAGCGUAUAUUAAAGUUGUUGCGGUUAAAAAGCUCGUAGUUGGAUCUCGGCGAGCAGGGGGUGGUCAUCAAGCAUUGAUGCACUGCUCUUUUUGCUUGCGAUUCGGGUGUCUGUUGCCGGUGCUCUUCACUGAUUGUCGGUUGCGGACACCAGGUUUACUUUGAAAAAAUUAGAGUGCUCAAAGCAGGCUAGUUGUCUGAAUAUUCGUGCAUGGAAUAAUAGAAUAGGAGGUUGUUGCUAUUUUGUUGGUUUCGGUAAUGACCUAAUGAUUAAUAGGGACAGUCGGGGGCAUUAGUAUUCAAACCACAGAGGUGAAAUUCUUGGACCGUUUGAAGACUAACUACUGCGAAAGCAUUUGCCAAGAAUGUUUUCAUUAAUCCAGAACGAAAGUUAGAGGUUCCAAGGCGAUCAGAUACCGCCCUAGUUCUAACCAUAAACGAUGCCAGCUAGCGAUCCUUCGACGUUAUUUCAAUUAGGCUCGAGGGGAAGCUUCCGGGAAACCAAAGCUUGUGGGUUCCGGGGGAAGUAUGGUUGCAAAGCUGAAACUUAAAGGAAG